This 859-nucleotide ribosomal RNA is filed under the name Microbacterium oxydans. RNAcentral's name for it is "bacterial SSU rRNA". It matches the Rfam family "Bacterial small subunit ribosomal RNA", at positions 123 to 994 of the family's 1533-position model. The record is from RNAcentral. Lineage: Bacteria; Bacillati; Actinomycetota; Actinomycetes; Micrococcales; Microbacteriaceae.
AACCUGCCCCUGACUCUGGGAUAAGCGCUGGAAACGGCGUCUAAUACUGGAUAUGUGACGUGACCGCAUGGUCUGCGUCUGGAAAGAAUUUCGGUUGGGGAUGGGCUCGCGGCCUAUCAGCUUGUUGGUGAGGUAAUGGCUCACCAAGGCGUCGACGGGUAGCCGGCCUGAGAGGGUGACCGGCCACACUGGGACUGAGACACGGCCCAGACUCCUACGGGAGGCAGCAGUGGGGAAUAUUGCACAAUGGGCGCAAGCCUGAUGCAGCAACGCCGCGUGAGGGAUGACGGCCUUCGGGUUGUAAACCUCUUUUAGCAGGGAAGAAGCGGAAGUGACGGUACCUGCAGAAAAAGCGCCGGCUAACUACGUGCCAGCAGCCGCGGUAAUACGUAGGGCGCAAGCGUUAUCCGGAAUUAUUGGGCGUAAAGAGCUCGUAGGCGGUUUGUCGCGUCUGCUGUGAAAUCCCGAGGCUCAACCUCGGGCCUGCAGUGGGUACGGGCAGACUAGAGUGCGGUAGGGGAGAUUGGAAUUCCUGGUGUAGCGGUGGAAUGCGCAGAUAUCAGGAGGAACACCGAUGGCGAAGGCAGAUCUCUGGGCCGUAACUGACGCUGAGGAGCGAAAGGGUGGGGAGCAAACAGGCUUAGAUACCCUGGUAGUCCACCCCGUAAACGUUGGGAACUAGUUGUGGGGUCCAUUCCACGGAUUCCGUGACGCAGCUAACGCAUUAAGUUCCCCGCCUGGGGAGUACGGCCGCAAGGCUAAAACUCAAAGGAAUUGACGGGGACCCGCACAAGCGGCGGAGCAUGCGGAUUAAUUCGAUGCAACGCGAAGAACCUUACCAAGGCUUGACAUAUACGAG